CUACUACUCCCUCAAUCCCAAAAUUCUUGUCUUAGAUUUAUCUAGAUACGGAUGUAUCUAACACUAAAACGUAACUAGAUACAUCCGUAUUUAGAAAAAAUCUAAGACAAGAAUUUUGGGAGGGAGGGAGUAUUUG
This is a non-coding RNA of Triticum aestivum (bread wheat), 136 nucleotides long. NCBI's taxonomy places the organism in Eukaryota, Viridiplantae, Streptophyta, Magnoliopsida, Poales, Poaceae. The record is from Rfam.